RNAcentral lists this ribosomal RNA (279 nucleotides) under Triticum aestivum (bread wheat). RNAcentral's name for it is "partial small subunit ribosomal RNA". Lineage: Eukaryota; Viridiplantae; Streptophyta; Magnoliopsida; Poales; Poaceae. The record is from RNAcentral.
AUGCUAUGUAUUCCAAAAAAUGAGGGAGGUAUGGGAUUUCGUGAUUUAUAUUCAUUCAACUUAGCUAUGCUAGCUAAGCAAUGCUGGAGGCUCAUCACUAAUCCAGAUUCCUUGGUUGCAAAAGUAUUGAAAGCUAAAUACUACCCCAAUGGAACUCUUUUGGAUGCUACCCCAAAGAAUGGGUCAUCAUUUACAUGGCAAAGUAUUUUAAAGGGCCUUGAUACAUUCAAGAAAGGUUACAUAUGGAGGAUUGGUACUGGUGAGGACGUAAAUAUAUGA